CAUUGGUUUGAUGAAUGUUAUAUUCUUUGACAAUUUAAUUCCGUGUAUAUUUUACAGAGAAAAAAGCGACAGACAAGAAUAAUGACGAUCUCACCAAGUGUAAAGUCUAUCAGAUUCAAACAAAGGGUUUUAAGGAAAGACGUGAGGAGGUAUCACUCAAACUAGCCUACAUAUAAAAGCGCUGUUAAAAUACAAUUGAAAACUACGAUUUCGUGUUUAUGUUUUAAUUUUACGUAAUAAUAACCCAAAAGAAACGCAAAAACAAUGUUAAAAGUAAUACAUGUUUCUUUUUAUCCUAAACAUAUCAAAGUGUCUUAAAUCUUCGAGAAAUAGUGACGAAAGCUGAACGGAAGUUUGGGCCGAACUGUUCCUAAUGACACCGUGUAAUUUGGUUUAAUUUGUUAAAAGUAUUAAAAACAAAUGGCCACGUUAGACAGUGUUAUCCAUACGCAAUUUCGAGUAAAAUGAGAUGUUUCUAUUGUUAGAAGAGUUUUUAUAGCCAAACUAUGGCGGCCAUGUUUGUCCAUGGAUCAAAACUUUGGAUACAAUUUAUAAACAAGAUACACUACGGAACAUUUAGGUAAAGUUUGAAAG
Mytilus trossulus (common blue mussel) is the source of this 594-nucleotide long non-coding RNA. RefSeq lists it as uncharacterized. The transcript has 3 exons. The record is from RefSeq and is a predicted model, not a curated record. NCBI's taxonomy places the organism in Eukaryota, Metazoa, Mollusca, Bivalvia, Mytilida, Mytilidae.